CCUACGGGAGGCAGCAGUGGGGAAUAUUGGGCAAUGGACGCAAGUCUGACCCAGCAACGCCGCGUGAAGGAAGAAGGCUUUCGGGUUGUAAACUUCUUUUAAGGGGGAAGAGCAGAAGACGGUACCCCUUGAAUAAGCCACGGCUAACUACGUGCCAGCAGCCGCGGUAAUACGUAGGUGGCAAGCGUUGUCCGGAUUUACUGGGUGUAAAGGGCGUGCAGCCGGAGAGACAAGUCAGAUGUGAAAUCCACGGGCUCAACCCGUGAACUGCAUUUGAAACUGUUUCCCUUGAGUGUCGGAGAGGUAAUCGGAAUUCGUAGUGUAGCGGUGAAAUGCGUAGAUAUUAGGAAGAACACCAGUGGCGAAGGCAGAUUACUGGACGAUAACUGACGGUGAGGCGCGAAAGCGUGGGGAGCAAACAGGAUUAAAUACCCGAGUAGUC
Molecule: ribosomal RNA, 442 nt
Filed under: uncultured bacterium
Lineage: Bacteria
Description: partial 16S ribosomal RNA
Rfam family: Bacterial small subunit ribosomal RNA
Source: RNAcentral